Molecule: ribosomal RNA, 258 nt
Filed under: uncultured bacterium
Lineage: Bacteria
Description: partial 16S ribosomal RNA
Rfam family: Bacterial small subunit ribosomal RNA
Source: RNAcentral
CGGCACGGGUGAGUAACACGUAUGCAACCUGCCUGCCACAGCCGGAUAAUCGGGAGAAAUUCCGUCUAAUACGGCAUAAUGCAUCGACGGGACAUCCUGUUGGUGCCAAAGGUUAAUUCCGGUGGCGGAUGGGCAUGCGUCGCAUUAGUUAGUUGGCGGUGUAACGGACCACCAAGACGACGAUGCGUAGGGGUUCUGAGAGGAAGGUCCCCCACACUGGUACUGAAACACGGACCAGACUCCUACGGAAGGCAGCAG